Molecule: ribosomal RNA, 729 nt
Filed under: Sporobolomyces salmonicolor
Lineage: Eukaryota; Fungi; Basidiomycota; Microbotryomycetes; Sporidiobolales; Sporidiobolaceae
Description: LSU rRNA
Rfam family: Eukaryotic large subunit ribosomal RNA
Source: RNAcentral
GCAUAUCAAUAAGCGGAGGAAAAGAAACUAACAAGGAUUCCCCUAGUAGCGGCGAGCGAAGCGGGAAAAGCUCAAAUUUGUAAUCUGGCGCUUUCGGCGUCCGAGUUGUAAUCUCGAGAAGUGUUUUCCGCGUCAGACCGCACACAAGUCUCCUGGAACGGAGCGUCACAGUGGUGAGAACCCAGUACACGGUGCGGAUGCCUGAUGCUUUGUGAUACACUUUCGAAGAGUCGAGUUGUUUGGGAAUGCAGCUCAAAUUGGGUGGUAAAUUCCAUCUAAAGCUAAAUAUUGGCGAGAGACCGAUAGCGAACAAGUACCGUGAGGGAAAGAUGAAAAGCACUUUGGAAAGAGAGUUAACAGUACGUGAAAUUGUUGGAAGGGAAACGCUUGAAGUCAGACUUGCUAUUCGGAGCUUGCUUCGAUUCGCAGGCCCGCAUCAGUUUUCCGGGGCGGAAAAUCGUAAGGAGAAGGUAGCAGUUUCGGCUGUGUUAUAGCUCUUUACUGGAUUCGUCCUGGGGGACUGAGGAACGCAGCGUGCUUUUUGCAUGGGCUUCGGCCCAUCCACGCUUAGGAUGCGGGUGGAAUGGCUUUAAACGACCCGUCUUGAAACACGGACCAAGGAGUCUAACAUGCUUGCGAGUAUUUGGGUGUCAAACCCGGAUGCGCAAUGAAAGUGAAUGGAGGUGGGAAGCGCAAGCUGCACCAUCGACCGAUCUGGAUUUUUUAAGA